GGCGAACGGGUGAGUAACACGUGAGUAACCUGCCCUUGACUUUGGGAUAACUUCAGGAAACUGGGGCUAAUACCGGAUAGGAGCUCCUGCUGCAUGGUGGGGGUUGGAAAGUUUCGGCGGUUGGGGAUGGACUCGCGGCUUAUCAGCUUGUUGGUGGGGUAGUGGCUUACCAAGGCUUUGACGGGUAGCCGGCCUGAGAGGGUGACCGGCCACAUUGGGACUGAGAUGCGGCCCAG
This 236-nucleotide ribosomal RNA is filed under the name uncultured Actinomycetales bacterium. RNAcentral's name for it is "partial 16S ribosomal RNA". It matches the Rfam family "Bacterial small subunit ribosomal RNA", at positions 97 to 334 of the family's 1533-position model. Lineage: Bacteria; Bacillati; Actinomycetota; Actinomycetes; Actinomycetales. The record is from RNAcentral.